Molecule: ribosomal RNA, 405 nt
Filed under: uncultured bacterium
Lineage: Bacteria
Description: bacterial SSU rRNA
Rfam family: Bacterial small subunit ribosomal RNA
Source: RNAcentral
UUAGGAAUUUUCCACAAUGGGGGCAACCCUGAUGGAGCAACGCCGCGUGCAGGAUGAAGGCCUUCGGGUCGUAAACUGCUUUUAUCAGAGACGAUUAUGACGGUAUCUGAAGAAUAAGGACCUGCUAACUACGUGCCAGCAGCCGCGGUCAUACGUAGGGUCCAAGCGUUAUCCGGAAUUACUGGGCGUAAAGAGUUGCGUAGGCGGCAAUGUAAGCAAGCUAUGAAAGAGCGUGGCCCAACCAUGCAAACGUAGUUUGAACUGCAUUGCUAGAGAAUAAGAGAGGUGGCUGGAAUUCCCAGUGUAGGAGUAAAAUCCGUAGAUAUUGGGAGGAACACCGAUGGCGUAGGCAGGCCACUGGCUUAUUUCUGACGCUGAGGCACGAAAGCGUGGGGAGCAAACGGG